RNAcentral lists this ribosomal RNA (253 nucleotides) under uncultured bacterium. RNAcentral describes it as "partial 16S ribosomal RNA". It matches the Rfam family "Bacterial small subunit ribosomal RNA", at positions 524 to 776 of the family's 1533-position model. The record is from RNAcentral.
UACGGAGGGGGCUAGCGUUGUUCGGAAUUACUGGGCGUAAAGCGCACGUAGGCGGCUUUGUAAGUUAGAGGUGAAAGCCCAGAGCUCAACUCUGGAAUUGCCUUUAAGACUGCAUCGCUUGAAUCAUGGAGAGGUGAGUGGAAUUCCGAGUGUAGAGGUGAAAUUCGUAGAUAUUCGGAAGAACACCAGUGGCGAAGGCGACUCACUGGACAUGUAUUGACGCUGAGGUGCGAAAGCGUGGGGAGCAAACAGG